AGGAAACCAUCUGGACUUGGCUCACUUUAUCUUUGCCAGAGUAAUGUGGGAACGGGCCAUUAGUUUCCACCACCUUCGUCUCAAGUUCCGAGACGCCGUUUUUUUGAGUAACCGACUCGUUUCCUUCACCGUCCUCUGUUUCUGACUCGACGAUGGAAGCCUUCGCCGGAGACUGUGAGAUAUCUUGUAAAGAACAUUCUGAGUCAGCAUCUUCGUCCAAAGACCUCUCCUCCUCCUCCGGUGAAACGAAAUUAUCGGGCAUUUCUUC
This 268-nucleotide long non-coding RNA is filed under the name Salvia miltiorrhiza (redroot sage). RNAcentral's name for it is "long non-coding RNA (SMIL_LNC013860)". Lineage: Eukaryota; Viridiplantae; Streptophyta; Magnoliopsida; Lamiales; Lamiaceae. The record is from RNAcentral.